This is a long non-coding RNA of Neofelis nebulosa (Clouded leopard), 328 nucleotides long. RefSeq lists it as uncharacterized. Lineage: Eukaryota; Metazoa; Chordata; Mammalia; Carnivora; Felidae. The record is from RefSeq and is a predicted model, not a curated record. The transcript has 2 exons.
AGAUGCCCUGAAGGACAACACUUAUGGUCUGAGUAAUAGUCAGAAAUAAUGACUUAGAAAAAGCUCCUCUAAGGAGAGAUGGCACACACAUACCGGAAAGGAAGCCGCAUGAAGACACAGAGAGACACAGAGAGAGGAUGGCCAUGUGAAAACAGAAGCAGAGAAUAGAGUGAUGCUGCCCCAAACCAUGGAAUGCCAGGAGCCACCUGAAGCUAGAAGAGGCAAAGAAGGAUUUUUCUCUACAGACUUCAAAGAAAGCACAGCCCUGCUAACACUGUAGUUUUGAACUUCUCCAUAACUGUGAGAGAAUAAAUUUCUAUCAUUUUAA